Molecule: long non-coding RNA, 5532 nt
Organism: Meriones unguiculatus (Mongolian gerbil)
Lineage: Eukaryota; Metazoa; Chordata; Mammalia; Rodentia; Muridae
Exons: 3
Source: RefSeq, a predicted model, not a curated record
AAUAACUCGUGACAAAUUAACGAAGAACAUUUUUUGGCCAAUCUGGGUCAAGUUGACAAAAUAUCUGUCAAGUGGAAAAUGUCUUUCAGAGGUGGAUCAAGGAAUGAGCAAGGAAAAGCCAUGAAACAGUAUGGACAUCCAGGGUGGCAGGAGUCAAGACAAAACUACGCAGAGCAAGCAGCUUGAGACUCAGUUGAGGUCUAAGCUCAGUGGUGAGUCAUUGGAGAAGAAGAUGAAGGCAGAAGUCUGCAUUUACAAGCCAAGGGAUACCAAGGGUGAAGCACAUGCAACAGUUACGAGUCAGAGCCUUCAAAGGAGCCAACCUGCCGAUACCGUGACUGCAUAGAUUUGUCCUCCAUCACUGUGUGUUGUUUUAAGCCACCAAGACUGUAGAAAUUAAUUAUGGCCACCUUUACAAACUAAUGUGAUGAUGAUCAAACUAAAUAGUUAACAUAGUAAGGGGCUUGUUAUUUAAAGUAGAUGUUGUCAAAUUAGGACCCAGUGGCCUGAAUCUAGUUGCUGUCUGAUAUGGAAACACAGCCACUGUCAUUUGCUUAUAUCAUAUCUGGUUGCUUUUGUGCCCAAACAGCAGAGUUGAGUUGCCUUGACAGAAGCUACACGUCACACACAGACGAACAUGUUACUGAAGUUUUUAAUUUUUUUGGAUGCAAAUCUACCUUCCUUAUGAAAGAAAUUGCCGGUUGGGAUUUUAUGAUGACUGCUUUAGCUAGUUUUAAUGUCUGCCUUGAAAAAUCGAUGUUAUAUUUUAAAUUUGGUUAGAGCACAUCUCUCCCACAGCACUGGUGUUAUGGACUAAGAGAAGCUCCACAAAGCCAGCUGGCCUGCACCUUUUGUACAGCGUCAAGGUGGAUCAUUUAGUUCAACCUCUUCACUCGACUUCCUGGACUUUACGUAAACUGGAAGCAUUAUUAGGCUGGUAGAUGGAGCAAGCAAUAAACAUACUCUUAGAGUAAAGAAAAGGACUAUCUAUCAUUGUAUUGAAGGACUGUCUUUCCCCCCAUGAUCCAGGCGCCUCUUACUUGAUUAGUAAUGAGGAUCCAAACAGAUGAGUUUUUCCUUGAGUGUGUGAAGAUCUCCCAGCUCGUAAAAGAGAGACACAGGGACUGAACGUAAGAAGCUUUCAAUAGCUUAGCUACUGACUUGAGUUUUGCAUAUGAGAUUCAUAAUUUCUCCAUAAAGAAAGUUAUAUUCAGUGACAAUGCAUGAUUUUCUUCUAACCUUUUUUUUCACAAGUUUUCUAGGAGAACAUUUAGAAAUUCGGUUGUUGAAUCUCUAUUUGAACAUUUCUGCCUGGCUCUGAAAAGAUUGGUGUGUGUGUGUGUGUGUGUGUGUGUGUUCACUCCUAUGUUUUAAUGUAGGAGGGUGUAAAUGUGUGUGCACGUGUGUGCUUGACAUUUGUGUGCAUGUGGAGGCCAGAUGUCACCCUCAGGAAUCAUUCCCCAGGGGCUGUCCAUUUUGUUUUUCGAGACAGGGUCUCUCAUUGUCCGGGGCUUGCCAGUUUGGCUAGACUGGUUAGUCAGCAAGGACCAAGUUUUCCUCCUGUUGCCACCUCCUUACCACUGGGGUUAUAGGCACAUGCAAUCAUGCCCAGAUUUUUAUUUCUUAAAUUUUAUUUAUUUGUUUAUUGUCUUUAUGUAUGUGUGUGUGUGUGUGUUGCACACAUGGAGAUCACAGGACAAAUUUCUGGAGUUGUCUUUCUUCUUCCACCAUGUGGGUCCCAGGAGUCCAACUCUGGUCCACAGGCUUGGCUGCUGGUACAGUUACCUGCUGAGCCAACUUUCUGGCCCCAUGCCAAGCUUUUCAGUGUGGGCUCCGGGAAUUGAACUCAGAUCCUCAUGAUUGUAUGGCAAGAAUUUUACUGACUAAGCUAUCUCCCCAGACCCUGAACAUUUUUUUUUCUCAUAAAACUUAAAGUUCUUGAAAAUUUACUCCAAGGAAAUAAUGAAAUAGCCAACAUUUUUCAGAGCAUUGUCUGUAGCCAUGAGAAUUUACGAAUUACUUACAUUUUAAGCAAUAGCAGAGAAUUGGUUAAGUAAGUUACAGUGCUCUAAUGCUCAUUCUGAGAGUUAUCCUUCAAUAUUUAAUAAUGUAGAAAGAUGCUUUUGGUAUAAUUUUAUAAAACUAGAAAGGCGGGAAAGAUAGGGUAUAUGUGGUACAUAACAGACACAUGUUCAGGGAAGCAGUGGCGAGGUUUGAGUAGUUUGAAGACAUCCCUGUGCCUGCCUCCAUUCUCUACUGUUUCAUUAAUGUUUUUAAUCACUGUAAAAUAAGAAAAGGAGGCAGUCUGCUUCUUUAAGUAUUUUUACCUGGAGUGGAAAAUUGUGAAUUGACGUAAAAGCCAAGUUCUUUCCCCCUUCUCUGGGAGCUGACAAAGUGCUUCAAUUGUGGCUUGUUAGAACAGCACCUUUGGGACAGUCAGGUCCCCCACACCCCACUCCAUCCCCCGCCAAGUCUCAGUUUCUUCACCUGCAUCCAGUAUGGAGCAUCAAGGAGUUCACAGAGAACCGGAGUUCCUGGUGAGCUAGUGUCAAAAGUGUGGUCUUUAAGCUCACCGACUCACUGGAAUCCCACACCUACAGUGGCCCCAGCUGAGGCUGGCACCAGUUGCCCCUGCUCCGUGAUUGCUCCCUGAGGAAGCCCAGCUAGCACAGGCUCUCCCAACACUUAUUUAGAUGGAAGCUGAAAGAUGUACUACUUCCCUGCUCUGGGGGCCGUAGGGUCAGAUUGGUUGUUUUAUGAGAUUAUUUCUCUCAUUUUAAGUCCUCUUUGUCUUGAUCAAGUGGUGGCAAUGCAUUUUCUUAGGAAAAAAAAUUUCCAUUAAAAAAAUUUAAUUUGUACUAAUCAGCCCCAGGCAGAGAGUCUGCAAUAAGCUUGAUGUCGAUUUCAUGUUUCGCUGAAGUUGGUGAAAUGUUUUGCUUAGGACUGUCCCGCCUCCCCUAUCUACUCUCUUUCUCUUUCUGAGUGUGCAUACGUGCAGGGUAGGAGAGAAAUCAUCAAAUAUGAUUUUCAGAAAAUAAAAACCCUGAAUAUUGCAUUUGGGCUCUGAAACUUCGAUUAUCUUCCCUUGAAUUAACCCUUUCUCUCCCCCACCUUCACAUCCCUCCUCUCUCAAGACAGGAUCUCACUAUGUAUUCUAGGUCUAUAAUUUGUAACCCGUGCCUCUGCUUCCUGUGUGUUAGGCCUGCUGAGCUUGUGUAACUUUACCUGCAUUUCCAGCAUCCUCUGAGCCACCCAGGAUCAAAUACACCCCUGGGAUACAUUGAGGCAUUUCCCUAACAAGACUUUAGAUUUCUUCAAGACAGGCAUUGUAAUUUUACCAAUUUUGUGUUCUCUUUUCUCUCUUCUCCUUUCUCUAUCCUUCCCUCCCUCCCUCCAUCAUCCUUUCCUUCUUUUAUUCUUUCUUGUUGAGUGUAGCUCACAGUGCUGUCUGAGAAAGCACAGGGCUUGUGGUGUCUGUGGUACAGAUACAAAGAUGUAGAGGGAGAUAAUAAAAGAAGAGUUGAAACGCACAUACACUGUGCUGUGCACCUAUCCACCUAUCUGCAUCCUGUAGAUACUGCUUGGCAGCUUACUGAGAUCCUUGCACUGUUCUCAGCGCUAAGGCCAUAGCAUAAGUAAGACUGGCUAUGGUUCCCGCUUUACCUAAGGUAGAACUUAUAACACAGUGCAAAACACAGCUAAACAAUGGAAGGAUUAUUUCUCAUGAUGGGAAAAAAAUCACAGAGGAGAAAAAUAGCACAAAGAGAGAAAAGGCUGAUGGUGACAGUGCUACGAAGAGUGAUCUAAUGGCAUUCUAGGAGUAGAAGGCACAAGGCCGAGGGUCAGCCUGAGUUCUCGCUGUGAGUCAUUUUUAGGUGUAGCAGGGACCAAGUUCUUAAGUGUUUCUCAUUUGUACUCAACUCCCUUUCUCUUUGGUUUCCUUCUGCCUUCCUCCCCCUCUCUUUUCUCUUUCUUGCUGUUUCCUCCUCCCCCUCUUGCUGUUUCCUCCUCCCCCUCUUCCCGUCUCUUGGAGCUUGAACCCAAAGUCGUGUGAACACUGAACAAAUGUGCUGCUACUGAGCCCUUUCACCCAGUUCUUUCAUGUUUGAGAGAGAUCUCAUGUAGUUCAGGAUGACCUUAAGAUCCUGAACUUUCUGCCUCUAAGUUUUGGGAUUUAUAGGCAUACACCACCAAAUCUGGCUCACUCUAUGCUCUCUUUCUCUGUCUGUCUCUCUCUUCCUGUGUGUGUCUCUAUCUCUUUCUGACUUUGUCUGUCUGUCUGUCUCUCUGCUCUCUUAAGCCUGCCUGCCUGCCUCUCUGUCUGUCUGUCUUUGACUCUCCUCAUCUCUCUAUAGGAUUCAAUAUAGCUAAGGUUGGCCUUGAACUCAAUAUGUAGCCAAGUGUGACCUUAACCUUCUGGUACUCCUGCUUCCUUCAGGUCACUGUGAUUAUAGGACUAUGAUACCAUAUUUAAUUUAUGUGAUUCCUGAGAUUGAACCCAGGGCUUUGUGAACUCUAGGUAAGUGUUCAGUCCACUGGGCUCCAUCCUCAGACUUGUGGCUCACUCGAUCAUUGAUUAAAUAGAAUGUAAUUGUCAGGAGUAAACUAUUAUUGGUAGUUACAUCAUUUAAGGGCCCAAUGGGGAAAAUGCAUAUAUGCAUUUUUAGCAUUCGCUGUUGGUUCAUGGCUAUAGACAGGCAGGACCUACCUGUGUGGACUUGUCCUGGAAGCUGCCAGAAGACGGUCUCACUGGGAAAGAAAAGGGGAGGAUUCGUUUGUUUUACAUGUGAGUGGGUAUAGGCUAACAUUGGUAGAUGUGUGGGCCUUCUGAGUGGGGCAGAGACAGAGAGCAGCAUUUUCCCAAUGCACAACAAAACAGUUUAUUUAAAAGCAAUGCAUCCAGUACUGUGUUUGACACAUGGCGCAACAAGGCAGGCACAUUCAUACUUAACAAGUACAUUUCGGAAGCUGUCGAAGCAAACUUUUGUAUUUUCUUCGCAAAGUACAGUCACAACACACACACACACCACACACACACAGAGUUAUCUCUGUGAAAGAUGGUCAUUCUUGCUCACCUAGAAGGCAGGAUAUAUUUACAUGGUGCUCAGCCCAGACGUGCUGGCUUCUUUCAGGCCUCUGUGGCCCUCAUUGUCUUGCAGCUUCUUUCCAAAGACAGGUAAGGGUGCCUCCCACAAGACAAAUGAGACUCUGAUUGGUAAAGCCCCCCCCCAUGUCUUUCGAAGACCAUAAAAUGUCCAGUGUGGUUGAGUGGGGGUAAAGUGUCUCCACAUACAAUGGCACUUCCCAAAACAAAUAGGUCAAUGAGGGUGGGGGAAGGGCUGCUAUGACAAUAACAAGAGGUUUUCACCUGGCAUGUUUGUUCAUCCCGCUUAUUUCUUUAAUAACUUACAUUCACCAUUUUGUCACAUUUUAACCUUUUGGUUUUAUCAUCACAAUAUAAAGGACUCUAUUCUACAUCAUUCUAUUCCAUUCCUUAAAAUGAUACUGAAACUAAAGAAUAAAACAAAACAA